GGUACACGAGCGGCGAACGGGUGAGUAACACGUGAGUAAUCUGCCCUUCACUCUGGGAUAGCCACCGGAAACGGUGAUUAAUACCGGAUAUGACAACUAGCCGCAUGGUUUGGUUGUGGAAAGUUCUGGCGGUGAAGGAUGGGCUCGCGGCCUAUCAGCUUGUUGGUGAGGUAAUGGCUCACCAAGGCUUCGACGGGUAGCCGGCCUGAGAGGGUGACCGGCCACACUGGGACUGAGACACGGCCCAGACUCCUACGGGAGGCAGCAGUGGGGAAUAUUGGACAAUGGGCGAAAGCCUGAUCCAGCAACGCCGCGUGAGGGAUGACGGCCUUCGGGUUGUAAACCUCUUUCAGCAGGGACGAAGCGAAAGUGACGGUACCUGCAGAAGAAGCACCGGCCAACUACGUGCCAGCAGCCGCGGUAAUACGUAGGGUGCGAGCGUUGUCCGGAAUUAUUGGGCGUAAAGGGCUCGUAGGCGGUUGGUCACGUCGGGAGUGAAAACUCGGAGCUUAACUCCGAGCCUGCUUCCGAUACGGGCCGACUAGAGGUAUGCAGGGGAGAACGGAAUUCCUGGUGUAGCGGUGAAAUGCGCAGAUAUCAGGAGGAACACCGGUGGCGAAGGCGGUUCUCUGGGCAUUACCUGACGCUGAGGAGCGAAAGUGUGGGGAGCGAACAGGAUUAGAUACCCUGGUAGUCCACACCGUAAACGUUGGGCGCUAGGUGUGGGACACAUUCCACGUGUUCCGUGCCGCAGCUAACGCAUUAAGCGCCCCGCCUGGGGAGUACGGCCGCAAGGCUAAAACU
Molecule: ribosomal RNA, 804 nt
Filed under: Nocardioides sp.
Lineage: Bacteria; Bacillati; Actinomycetota; Actinomycetes; Propionibacteriales; Nocardioidaceae
Description: bacterial SSU rRNA
Rfam family: Bacterial small subunit ribosomal RNA
Source: RNAcentral